ACCGGAGGAAGGUGGGGAUGACGUCAAGUCCUCAUGGCCCUUAUAGGUGGGGCUACACACGUCAUACAAUGGCUGGUACAAAGGGUUGCCAACCCGCGAGGGGGAGCUAAUCCCAUAAAACCAGUCGUAGUCCGGAUCGCAGUCUGCAACUCGACUGCGUGAAGUCGGAAUCGCUAGUAAUCGUGGAUCAGAAUGUCACGGUGAAUACGUUCCCGGGUCUUGUACACACCGCCCGUCACACCAUGGGAGCGGGUUCUGCCAGAAGUAGUUAGCCUAACCGCAAGGAGGGCGAUUACCACGGCAGGGUUCGUGACUGGGGUGAAGUCGUAACAAGGUAGCCGUAUCGGAAGGUGCGGCUGGAUCACCUCCUUU
This 372-nucleotide non-coding RNA is filed under the name Reticulomyxa filosa. Its description in RNAcentral is "Bacterial small subunit ribosomal RNA". It matches the Rfam family "Bacterial small subunit ribosomal RNA", at positions 1162 to 1533 of the family's 1533-position model. Lineage: Eukaryota; Foraminifera; Reticulomyxidae. The record is from Rfam by way of RNAcentral.